GGAAACAGGGAAGGGAUUUGGGAUCUGGGAUCUGGGAUUUGGGAUUUGGGAUCAGGGAAGGGAUUUGGGAUUUGGGAUUUGGGAUCAGGGAAAGGAUUUGGGAUCCAGGGAAGGGAUUUGGGAUCUGGGAUUUGGGAUUUGGGAUUUGGGAUCAGGGAUUUGGGAUCAGGGAAGGGAUUUGGGAAAAGGAAUCAGGAAUGGGAAACAGGGAAGGGAUUUGGGAUCUGGGAAGGGAUUUGGGAUCCAGGGAAGGGAUUUGGGAUUUGGGAAGGGAUUUGGGAUUUGGGAUCAGGGAUCAAGGAAGGGAUUUGGGAUCCAAGGAAGGGAUUUGGGAUCUGGGAUUUGGGAUCAGGGAAGGGAUUUGGGAUUGGGGAUUUGGGAUCAGGGAAGGGAUUUGGGAAAAGGAAUCAGGAAUGGGAAACAGGGAAGGGAUUUGGGAUUCAGGGAAGGGAUUUGGGAUUUGGGAUCAGGGAUGGGAUUUGGGACCAGGGAUGGGAUUUGGGAUCAGGGAAGGAAUUUGGGAUCAGGGAAGGAAUUUGGGAUUUGGGAAGGGAUUUGGGAUCCAAGGAAGGGAUUUGGGAUCCAAGGAAGGGAUUUGGGAUCUGGGAAGGGAUUUGGGAUCAGGGAUUUGGGAUUUGGGAUCUGGGAUGGGAUUUGGGAUCGGGGAUGGGAUUUGGGAUCAGGGAUGGGAUUUGGGAUUCAGGGAUGGGAUUUGGGAUCUGGGAUCAGGGAAGGGAUUUGGGAUCAGGGAUUUGGGAUUUGGGAUUUGGGAUCUGGGAUCAGGGAAGGGAUCUGGGAUUUGGGAUCUGGGGUCUGGGAUUUGGGAUCAGGGCUGCGAUUCCUCCCCUCAGCUUUUCCCCGGAAUUCCAUCCUGGAUCCUCCCCUCCCCUCCUGACAUUUUGGAACAUUUUGGGGAUAUUCAGGGAAUAUUCUGGGGACAUUCUGGGAAUAUUUUGGGGAAUAUUUUGGGAAUAUUUUGGGAACAUUUUAGGGACAUUUUGGGGACAUUUUGGGGAUAUUCAGGGAACAUUUUGGGGACAUUUUGGGAAUACUUUGGGAAUAUUCAGGGAAUAUUUUGGGGACAUUUUAGGGACAUUCAAGGAAUAUUCUGGGGACAUUCUGGGAACAUUUUGGGGGAUAUUUUGGGGACAUUCAGGAAAUAUUUUGGGGAAUAUUUUGGGGAAAUUCUGGGAAUAUUUUGGGGACAUUUAGGGCAUAUUUUGGGAACAUUUUGGGGAUAUUCAGGAACAUUUUGGGAACAUUCUGGGGACAUUUUGGGAAUAUUUUGGGCACAAUAUUUUGGGGAAUAUUUUGGGACUAUUUUGGGAAAUAUUUUGGGAAUAUUUUGGGAAUAUUUUAGGGACAUUUUGGGGAUAUUUUGGGGACAUUCUGGGAAUAUUUUGGGGACAUUCUGGGAACAUUUUGAGGACAUUUUGGGAACAUUCAGGGAAUAUUUUGGGGACAUUUAGGGCACAUUUUGGGAACAUUCUGGGCACAUUUUGGGGAAUAUUCUGGGAAUAUUUUGGGCACAUUUUGGGGACAUUCAGGGAAUAUUUUGGGAAUAUUCUGGGGACAUUUUGGGAAUAUUUUGGGGAUAUUCAGGGAACAUUUUGGGGAAUAUUUUGGGGAUAUUUUGGGGAAUAUUUUGGGGACAUUUUGGGGACAUUCAGGGAAUUUUUUGGGGAUAUUCUGGGGACAUUCUGGGGACAUUUUGGGCACAUUCAGGGCACAUUUUGGGGACAUUCAGGGCACAUUUUGGGCACAUUNNNNNNNNNNNNNNNNNNNNNNNN
This 1790-nucleotide long non-coding RNA is filed under the name Zonotrichia albicollis (white-throated sparrow). RNAcentral's name for it is "lncRNA (ENSZALG00000000918.1)". The record is from RNAcentral. Lineage: Eukaryota; Metazoa; Chordata; Aves; Passeriformes; Passerellidae.